This is a small nucleolar RNA of Pomacea canaliculata, 67 nucleotides long. NCBI's taxonomy places the organism in Eukaryota, Metazoa, Mollusca, Gastropoda, Architaenioglossa, Ampullariidae. The record is from RefSeq and is a predicted model, not a curated record.
UUGCUGUGAUGAUACUUUACCCUGAUAAAAGUGAUGUUUAUAAUAGAGCUUUUUAAAACUGAGCAAC